UGCCCACUCCCUUACCAGUGGCAUGUUUUUUAAAAAGUCGAAAUCCACUUACAUGUUGAAUAAAGCAACUUGAAAUUACUGAAUUCAAGGAUUCAACGCUAGACUAGCUUUUGCAGUGUGAGCUUUGCUGUGCUUUUGGCUUGUCUAUGGUGUGAGCAGCUUGAAGUCAGCUCCUGCUUUACAGGAAUCCUUGUGAUACAAUGUCAUGAAGCAAUAAUAAACUGGUAUAACUAUAGUCCAUACAGAAUUUCUUUUGACUCGGAGGAAAAUGCGGCGCAGAGAAAUGGAGCGAGAUCAGUCAAUUACAGUGAUGAAUAGAGUCAUAAUUAGAAGCGCAGUUGCCAAUUUGUCGAUUAGACUCAGCGUCUGACUGCUUUCAGACAGGAAACUUCGCAUGUUUAGCAUGAGCAUAUGAUCAGUUACUAGAGAACGCUGGCCGGUUCAGAACGGCCUCUGUAUCCCUACCACUCUACGCCUUCUCUGAUGCGCAUGUCCCUCCCAAGUCAAAAGUAAUUUUGUACGGACUAUAGAUAUACAUUAAAAUUUCUGUAAUAUAAUCUGAAUAGCUCAGCUCUGAGGUUGCUUAAAUACAGAGAGCAACUGUGUGAUAUCAGAGCGGCUAACUCAAGUUGCUCUCUUAAAACAUACAAAUUUGAAUUGUGUUGCUCCUUUGGAAAGAGAGUGUUGAAUAAAGAUUAAUACUUUCUGGUAUAGCAAAAAACGACUAGCGAAAAACCUGGAAACAAAUUAUAGAGUGUUGUGCAGUCUUUGUUUUGUUUUCUGUCUCUCAGUUGCUCUUUGUAUGUCUUCUUCCUCUUUUGUGCGCUGUCAGUUUCGGAUGUUUGUGUCCAGCAUGCAAAGUCUAAUUCUGUUGACAGCAAUUCGAAACAGUUCAGCGGAUGUUUGUUUCUAUGUGAUCAGCCUUAAUCACUGCUUUCCGAUUGAUUUCAGUUAUGCUGGUUUGAAGAAGAAUACUAUUGGCUCUCAUGGUAAUCUUCACUCAUUGGCAGAUUACAAAUAUAUGAACUCUCCAAUGAGUGCAAAAGGUAUUCUCUUCUUCUGUCCAGCAGAGCAGAACAUCAUUUGAAAAGAGGGCUUAAGAAACGAAAAUGACAAUCAAUCCAAUUCAUUCGAAAUGAGAAUUCCAAACCUCAUAUUUGCAUAAUUUCAUUAGUGAAGGUGUUAUACUCUUUAUACAGCUUUACCAUUUUUAACCUCAUAUUUGAAUAAUUUCAUUGGUGAAGGUGUUAUAAUCUUGAUACAUCUUUACAAGAUUUACCAUUUGUUAUAUUUUGAAGGGAUCUGUUUUGUCAGAAUUAUCAAUCUUCUACAUCCAACCUUUCUCUGCAUUCAACCUCCUAUGUGUAAAUCUGCAUCCAAGGUUUUUCAAGAUGCUCAGCAAGCAACUUUUAUCCAUGUCUGUGAAUAUUAUAGUUUAGGCUCAAGUGAAAAUAUUAACAAGCAUGGCCCUUCAAGCUAACAUUGUUAUCAGUGGAAAUCUUCAAUAUAGUUUAGUUUCUCUGUAGCCAGGGUCUCUCAGAAGAAGCAAAACUUGCAGAUGAAGCAAAACAACCGGACGCAGAACAACCAGAAGAAAGUGAAGGAAACGAAAGAAAAGGAAACGGAAAAAAGGAGUGUCAGUUUCCCUGCAGGAGUUGUGGAAAGCAGGAUCACUGAUUGAGGAGCUAAUGUACACAUGCCAUUGUGGAAAAUCUUACAAGCACAAGUCUAGUAUGACAAAGCACCAGCGACUGGAGUGCGGAGGCAAGGAACCUCAGUUUCAGUGCCCGUUCUGCAAUAAGCGAUGUCAUCAGAAAGGAUCACUAAAGAAACAUGUUUUUAUAAAGCACUUGGAGUUGAUGAGAGAGGCCAAACUAAGUCUGUGAACCUUUGACGUUGUUCAGCACUUCGAAGAACAUAGAUUUUUCCGUCAUUAUAUCGAUGUAUUCCUUGUUCAAAAGAUUGGCACAAGAAUAUUAUAUAAAGCUGAAUACGGUUGAAAUUGAAGUGGGUCACAAGGGACUCCACACCAGUAUUAGCUAAAAAGUUUUUUUUGUAAAUCUUUUAUAUUAUCCCUUUUUGACAGUUUCAGAACCCAAACAAUAUCGUUGAACAGACACUUCUUAUAAUAUUAAUGUGACCACUAAGGGAUUCUCCACCAAAACAACAUAGGAAUUAUUCUGUUUAUUGUCACUCAUGUGAUCAAAUUCUUAUGUAUUCUUGAAAGUAUAAAAUUUGUGAAUUGUAUUCAUUUACAGAUGUUACACUUGGAAUUUCCAACUUUUAAUUUUUUGUCAAAAAUAAAAUUUUACAUAAAAAAUCA
Long non-coding RNA from Nilaparvata lugens (brown planthopper), 2323 nucleotides. RefSeq lists it as uncharacterized. NCBI's taxonomy places the organism in Eukaryota, Metazoa, Arthropoda, Insecta, Hemiptera, Delphacidae. The record is from RefSeq and is a predicted model, not a curated record. The transcript is spliced from 2 exons.